UACGUAGGGGGCGAGCGUUGUCCGGAAUUAUUGGGCGUAAAGGGUGCGUAGGCGGUUUUUUAAGUUUGUCGUGAAAGCCCGGGGCUUAACCCCGGUAAGCGAUGAAAACUGGAAGACUUGAGUGAUGGAGAGGAACGUGGAAUUCCUGGUGUAGCGGUGAAAUGCGUAGAGAUCAGGAGGAAUACCAGUGGCGAAGGCGACGUUCUGGACAUUAACUGACGCUGAGGCACGAAAGCGUGGGGAGCAAACA
Molecule: ribosomal RNA, 250 nt
Filed under: uncultured prokaryote
Description: partial 16S ribosomal RNA
Rfam family: Bacterial small subunit ribosomal RNA
Source: RNAcentral